CAGAGUUUGUGAAAUAAUAAACACCAUGUCUAAUCCUUGUAGGAAGCAUAUACUGUUGGCCCUCCACAUUUUUGGGUUUAAAUUUUCUAGAUUUCAUUAUUCACAGAUUUGAAUAAUAUGUUAUCUCUAGGUAUCUCUAGAGCUUCUAAGGUGAAUCUGUGAUUAGCUUCUUCAAGAUAUCACGUAUUCCUUAAAGGUAAUUCCUAGCUCUUCGAGGUCUCGUGCCACAGCCUUGAUGGGAGGACUCUUCGCACUCUGCACCUUGGGAACAUUUCCAUCCACCUGCUGCUGUGCUAACCAGAUGAAUGAUGAGAUUAGCACUUGCUGAGAAAAAGUAUGAGCUCCUUUAUAGCCAGGCAGAAAGAGAUCUAAUGUGAGGGAUGGAAGCCAAGAUGGACCAACAAGACUGCCAGUUCUGAGACUCUGCCUGGACUCUCAGAACUGGAAGAUAGUAAAGCCUGGAUUAAAACAGAUACACAGCUGAUUCUAGUUAAUGAGGAGCAAUCUGCCUGUGAAAUGCUAAUGUCUUCUAGAAGGGUCACUUCUUAUCUUCGAACAUCUCCCUAAGGCUCUAGGGGCACGUCUUAUCUUCGGUUGCUUCCAGAUGGCUCUAAAUGUAUAACCUGACAAUAUAUAGAAAGGGAAUCUUGUGCCAAUUGCUUUCUGGCUGUGUGUAACUGUGAAGUUUCAUCUUCACAUUCUAUCUACCUCAGGCCAUCUUGACAGAUACAAAGAGGGUUGGCAGGACAACAUAUAUGAUUUCAGAUUGUUGAUUUCCAACUGCUUCUCUCUUUGUUCCAAUAUUUGCCCCACAAGGAAAAUAGAAGUGAAAACAGAGAAAGGGCCAGCUUUACCAUUUGAAAGAAUGGUUCAGACAUUGGAUUUAAGGAAAAUACAUGGUUAAUUAUUCAUCCUCAUUUGCCAAAAUAAUUUGGUUGGUUUUGGCACUGGUCGUGGUGUGAAGCACCAUUUCCUAUUAGAUCUCAGGCAGGUAAAUGUCUUGGGCUGGUGCUAGUGGAACAAGAUGGGAAAGGAAGAUGUAAUGAAUCUUACCUCCAUUUUGUAGAGGAAUGCCAGGCAGCCAUCUUGAGUUAGAAAGGGGGAGGAGCUUAGAGAGAGACUCCUAGGAUUGGCCAACCAGGGCAGAUGGGAGGAGCCAAGUAUUAGAGGGCAGAGGGAAAAAAGAGCUCCAGGCAGUUCUGUUUGGAGGGUUUGAAGAAGGGAGUUCUGUUUUAGGGUUUGAAAAGAGCAGUUCGGUUUUGAAGUUUGGAGUGUGUGUGUGAGAGAGAACUAAAAGCUGUGAAAACUGACAGGGUAGGUCAGGCAGUUUGGAUCUCUUGGGGGAAGAUAACUCAAGGGAUUGACUCUCACUACUGGGCUGGUUAAUAGAAGGACUCUAGGUUAGAGUUAAUUAACAACCCAGGGGAAUUCGUGACUAUUCUCAGCAAAUAGAGCGAGAGUUUUUGUGACCAAUAGAUAGAUUGGUUGGUUGGAACUGUUUGAAACUAAGUGAAGUAAUCUGAUACAUACAACUAAGUUAAGCUGAAGAACGUCUGUAACCGAUUACGCUUAUGAACCUCUCUGAAGUAAUCAUUUGCCUGUUUUUAAGAAAAUAAAUUUUUAUUCUAUUUUCAAUUUUCAA
Long non-coding RNA from Anolis carolinensis (green anole), 1642 nucleotides. RefSeq lists it as uncharacterized. NCBI's taxonomy places the organism in Eukaryota, Metazoa, Chordata, Lepidosauria, Squamata, Anolidae. The record is from RefSeq and is a predicted model, not a curated record. The transcript has 2 exons.